This 466-nucleotide ribosomal RNA is filed under the name uncultured bacterium. RNAcentral describes it as "partial 16S ribosomal RNA". It matches the Rfam family "Bacterial small subunit ribosomal RNA", at positions 28 to 507 of the family's 1533-position model. The record is from RNAcentral.
GAUGAACGCUGGCGGCGUGCUUAACACAUGCAAGUCGAACGAUGAAGCCCAGCUUGCUUGGUGGUUUAGUGGCGAACGGGUGAGUAACACGUGAGUAACCUGCCCUUGACUCUGGGAUAAGCCUGGGAAACUGGGUCUAAUACUUGAUAUGACUUCUCAUCGCAGGGUGGGGGGUGGAAAGAUUUAUUGGUCUUGGAUGGACUCGCGGCCUAUCAGCUUGUUGGUGAGGUAAUGGCUCACCAAGGCGACGACGGGUAGCCGGCCUGAGAGGGUGACCGGCGACACUGGGACUGAGACACGGACCAGAGUCCUACGGGAGGCAGCAGUGGGGAAUAUUGCACAAUGGGCGCAAGCCUGAUGCAGCGACGCCGCGUGAGGGAUGAUGGCCUUCGGGUUGUAAACCGCUUUCAGUAGGGAAGAAGCGAGAGUGACGGUACCUGCAGAAGAAGCGCCGGCUAACUACGUG